Python bivittatus (Burmese python) is the source of this 1954-nucleotide long non-coding RNA. RefSeq lists it as uncharacterized. The record is from RefSeq and is a predicted model, not a curated record. NCBI's taxonomy places the organism in Eukaryota, Metazoa, Chordata, Lepidosauria, Squamata, Pythonidae.
UUCCCCAGCCAGCAUGGCCUUUGCUAAGAAUUCUGGGAGUUGAGCUCCACACAUCUGAAAUCCACCAAUCGUGGAUGUAUUGCAUUAGAGGAAUGCCUUUAUAAACAAACACACGAAGUUUGAAGAAUUCAUCAUUAGAGUCAGAGACUGUGUCCAGGCAUGUUGGUAUCCAUGGGAACAAAAAUGACUGUUCUAGCAUCGCCACAUAUUGCCGAUGAAAAGCAAAGCUUGGCAUUUUGUGUACAUGUGGAUUAAUGUAAUUCUAUACAUACUUCUUCCCACAGAUUUGACUUUUAGCUAUUUAACUGGGAUUGUUCUGCUAGAUGUACCCCCCCUUCCAUAAAGUCACCAAGCAUGACUUGAAAGAAACUUCAGGCUUUAAAGAGCUAUGCGGAUGGCAAUAGAUUUAAUUCUCCUACUGCACAUAAGAUCUGCCCAUCUUGUUGCAUUUCCUGUUGUUGCCGAGAUCUUCCCUGGAAUAAUAAUGAACUGGGGAAGAUGAUGCUCUGUGCCUAUCCUCUUGAUGUUUUGCCCUCUAAAAUGAGGUAGGUAGGCAAUUAAGUAUUUGUGUGUGUGUGUGUGGAGGGCAGGUCCUGAAGGAUUUUCCUGCCACAACAAAGCCCUUCAUCCAGAAAAAUAAGCUCACCCAGCCCAUUCUGUGGUGGGGUUCACAUCACACAUUAAGCCAUAAUAUUGUUUGUUUGCUUUUGACUUGGCGAACACAGCCAUUUUGGCAUGUAAACCCAGUUUUGUGGCUUAACAUGAUGCACAAUCUGAGCCAUUAUGGCUUGUUCAACAAACUAUGCUUAAACCACACCCUGGCCUUUCUGCUCCAGGAUCAAACUUGGGAGAACUCCCUUUGUAUUAAGCUGGGUGAAAGUCCAUUUCCUUAAGUAAUUCAGCUGUUAAAUAAUAUGCAUCAUGGGAAAAUGUACCAAGAUUUGUACCUUGCUGCCCUCUUGUGGUGUUCUGCGUUGUGAUGCUUAAAAAAAUAAAUGUUUUGUUGUUUUCUGGCAGGCUUGGCAUUCCUCAGCAAAUUAUGGUGUGACGGGGAGCCUUCAGAUGGUGCUUGACACCCAACACCCCUCACCCUUUGCAAUGCUGGCUAUGGCUGCCGGAACACCACAAAAUCUCCUACACGUCUUCUACAGCUCUGUUCCUCCUAGAGUGCUAGCUGAAGUGGAAUCUAAGAAAAGUAAGCAUGCCUCAAGACAAGCAUCAUCUGUUGGUCUGGACAACUGCCUAGGAUGCUGAGUGCUGACAGAGGCCACAGACAUGGACUGACAGAAAAUUGAGUUUCCAGAGAGUUUCUAUUUUUCUUUCAGUUUCUAGCCCUCAUGGAAGACAUGCUUGAAAGUGUAUGGACAAUAAGAUCUCAAAAAUUAAAGAAGCUCUUGAUUAGUGUAUCUACUAGCCUGGGACAGAACCUCACACAACUGCUUGCUGUCCUUUGAGGCUAGAAAUAAUGCAAUCAAUUUUGCCACAUGUGAAAUAGAGAUAUAAAUAAUACAAGUUACCUAAUUUGUUCCUCUGUCUGCAGGAUUAGAGUUAUGUAGCUAAAGAACUUUGACUUUUAGGAUUUUUAAUUUUUUUAAAGCAUGGCGAUCACAUGGCCUGGACAAGAAGGGAGCGAUUGGAAAGACGACAGGAAAACAGUUCUGCCAGGUUUGAGGAUGUGGUGUUGAAGUCCUUUCCAUUUCUAGCAAGGAAUUCAGAAUGUGGCAGGGUCAUUUUUCGGAGGGGAACUUCUGCAACUAUGAUUAUUAGAUGGGCAGCAAAAAGCAGUGACCACAAGAAACAGGCCUUGGAGGUGCUGACUGAUGUCAAGGAGUUUAUAAUUGACAUUUGUCAGAAUAAUGAAAGAGAAACCCUCCAAACACACCACAUUGCCAUAGACUAUACUCCCAUUUUAUCCCUUCAAAAAUGCCUUCACUGAUUUCACUCAGGACCUCAA